Molecule: ribosomal RNA, 407 nt
Filed under: uncultured bacterium
Lineage: Bacteria
Description: partial 16S ribosomal RNA
Rfam family: Bacterial small subunit ribosomal RNA
Source: RNAcentral
AUUGAACGCUGGCGGCAGGCCUAACACAUGCAAGUCGAGCGGAGCGGCGGACGGGUGAGUAAUGGCUAGGAAUCUGCCUGGUAGUGGGGGAUAACGUUCGGAAACGGGCGCUAAUACCGCAUACUCUCAGCUGAGCCUAGGUCGGAUUAGCUAGUUGGUGUGGUAAAGGCCUACCAAGGCGACGAUCCGUAACUGGUCUGAGAGGAUGAUCAGUCACACUGGAACUGAGACACGGUCCAGACUCCUACGGGAGGCAGCAGUGGGGAAUAUUGGACAAUGGGCGAAAGCCUGAUGCAGCCAGGCCGCGUGAAUGAAGAAGGUCUUCGGAUUGUAAAGCGCUUUAAGUUGCGAGGCGUUACCCGCAGAAGAAGCACCGGCUAACUCCGUGCCAGCAGCCGCGGUAAUUC